AUUGAACGCUGGCGGAAUGCUUUACACAUGCAAGUCGAACGGCAGCACGGACUUCGGUCUGGUGGCGAGUGGCGAACGGGUGAGUAAUGUAUCGGAACGUGCCCAGUCGUGGGGGAUAACGUAGUGAAAAUUACGCUAAUACCGCAUACGAUCUAUGGAUGAAAGCGGGGGAUCGCAAGACCUCGCGCGAUUGGAGCGGCCGAUAUCAGAUUAGGUAGUUGGUGGGGUAAAGGCCCACCAAGCCAACGAUCUGUAGCUGGUCUGAGAGGACGACCAGCCACACUGGAACUGAGACACGGUCCAGACUCCUACGGGAGGCAGCAGUGGGGAAUUUUGGACAGUGGGCGAAAGCCUGAUCCAGCCAUUCCGCGUGCAGGAUGAGGGCCCUCGGGUUGUAAACUGCUUUUGUACAGAACGAAAAGGUUUCUACUAAUACUAGGAGCUCAUGACGGUACUGUAAGAAUAAGCACCGGCUAACUACGUGCCAGCCGCCGCAGUAA
RNAcentral lists this ribosomal RNA (500 nucleotides) under uncultured bacterium. Its description in RNAcentral is "partial 16S ribosomal RNA". It matches the Rfam family "Bacterial small subunit ribosomal RNA", at positions 30 to 523 of the family's 1533-position model. The record is from RNAcentral.